CCUCGUCGGGAGCCGCGGGCGGGGCCCGCCCCAAAGCCUCUUAAGCUCCUCCGGAGGCUGCCGGGAGCCACGGGGGAGUUUCUGCGGUUGUGGAUAGGCGACGGCGGGGGUUCUGUUUCUUUGUCGGGCCCUGGUGUUGCUGAGGCUGAGAAGCGGUACGCGGGGUUUUUUGGGGGGGACGGAGCCUUGAGGUUCUCUUUAAUGUUUUCGUGGUGUCGUUUUGUUUCAGGCUGCUGUGAGCCCUUUUGCGGUAAGGACCAGCCCAAACAGGCUGAGCGUGGGCUGCAGCAGAGGCUCUCAUCGGCCCGAAGCAGUGAGCUCGUGGAAGCGGUGAGUGUUUGAGAGUCGCUCGGUAAGAUCUCUCGUGCUGGGGCUCCUGUAGGGUUGCUGCUCGACUGCCUCCGUGUCUUUGGGAUCGGCACGGCGCCGCCGCUGGGCUCCCGCGUGGCUUUUUAGUAGGACCGGCACGGGGCCGCCGCCCGAGACCGAGCACGAUCCCGGGGUGGCCUCGGCCACUGCGGAGGGUUUUGCGGGUGCUCUCACCCAUCCCGUUUCCAGCGGUGGGAGCGAGCAGGUUGGGACCGUGGUUUUUUUUUUUUCCCCGCCUCUUCCUUCCCGUGUAACUGCAGGAGCACGAUUUAGGUUCCCACCGUGGAGACCUGGCAGGGCAGCUCGCACGACUGGAGUGCUGUCGUGGAUGGCUCUGUUCCUUUUAGGAAAGACAGACCGGCCAGACGGUGGAGUCUCUCUCUCUUCGAGGGAGAGAACGGGAACGUAUCGAGCUCCACCUAGGGGUGAAUGAAGAACCAGCGGAGCGUUUGUGCGUGAGGCUGAAGAGGCAGCUGGAAAUGGUGCCCACAGCUGUGAGGCCAGUUCUCAUGGUAGGCUCCAGGAGUUUCCUGCAGUGUGUCAAAGGUAAGAUCUUCUGACACAGGUGACGAAGGAGGCAUUGAGGAGAGGGGCUGCUGGAGCUCCCUAUUGCAGAAGAGCCAUUUGGGGACAGGAAGGCCAGGGGCAGCCUGGAGCGUGCCAGUCGUGAGACCACAGCGUUUGGGAUCUUGUGUGGAAGCUGCAAAGCAAUGAGUAGGAUUGAAACACUGGACUUAGAGGGAGCCAAGUUUGUCCUCUUGAAGGGCCUACUUGGAGGUAACCCUUGCUCAAGCAUAGGAAGGGGUCCUGUGAAUGCUGGAGCAUUACUUUGUCCAUGCUGAGGUGCGCUGCGUCCCAAGGAGGAAGGAACUGCGCAGGAAUGGUGGGGGACCUGCAGGGCUGACUGAGGAACUUGAAGGGGAGAAGGAAGAGAGAGGCUGAGGAAGGCCAAGUCCCUCUGAGUAUCAGCUUUGGGAGGGAGGUCAAGGCUAAUGGAAGUUUGUCAACAGGAGAGACUGGAGAAAUUGCAGGCCUGCGCUUUACAAGGCGGAGGCCUGAGUAAUGAGGCCUGAGGCGGAGGCCUCUUGGGUUCAGUGGUUUCUGCUGAGAGUGCUCCUGGGGAACCUGGGGUCCUGGAGGAGAGAGUCCCUGAGGAAGGAUGUCUUCCCCUCAGUUGCGGAGGAGCUGGUCAAAGGUAGUUCAGGCAGAAAGGAGGCCAGCAAAUGCCUGAGCUGUAGAGGGCUAUGUCUGUGCCCGCUGAGAGCUGGCAGCGGUGACUGGCAAUAGCUCUGUCACUUUUCCCUGCUGUUUCCUGUGGGAAAGGUACCUGAAGACUGGAGGAUGGCGGAUGCCACCGCAGCCUUCAGAAAGGGUGUGGAGGAUGGCGUGUGCAACUUGGAGGUAGGUUGGCCUCAUGUCUGUUUCUGGGGAGGUGACGCAACAGCUUGUUGCAGGUGUCAUUGCCAUGUGACCGGAGGAGAAGGAAUUUGCAAGGAGCAGUCCAGGUGGAUGGACAGAGGAGAAGUCAUGCCGGACCAAAAGGGUGAAGGCUGCAGAGAGGAUUGGCUGGAGCAGGUGUGCAGUUUUCCCAGGGGUGGGAUGAAGGAGGUGAGAGAGGGGGAGCCCCAGGCGGGAGCCCUCGUGGUGGAGGGCUGCCCCCAGGAGCGCCCCCUUGGAGGUGGUUUGUGGAGGUCUCUGCGCAGGUUCAGGCUGGAGGCAGGAUCCUGGCGGUGUGAGCGGGGCGCCCCUGUGGAGCAAGGGUGGAAGGUGCGUGGCAGGUCCUGUCCCGGAGGAGUGGAGUUAAGGGUCCUGGCGUGGCUGUUUUCCUGCAUGGAAGAUGGAGAUCCUGGGAGCUGCGAUGAGGAGGAGCAGAGCCAGCAGUGGCUCCUGUGUGGCGAUGGCUGCUUUGUGUGGUGCUCCUGGGCUGAAAGGAGGAGGAGAAAAAAGUUUUUAGUGUGGUUCUUCAAAGCUCAGUUUCCCUUCAGCAAGAAGCUAUGGGGAGCUUCUAGGUCUAAUGCUGUUCCUCUGCUUUUGAGUACAAUGCCUCAGACUCACUUCACUCACCAGAUGAAAUCUCUGAGGAUCUUUCCUGUGUCUGUAUUGUUGCAGCUGAAUUUCUGCACGGCAGCCUUUCUCGAAUGCAGUAGGGCUUCCCUGGCUUGAAGAUGAGCAUGCUGUACUGAGGGAGGAGUGGCUAGACUAACUUGACUAGGCUAGACUAUUUCUAACUAGACCAGAGGACAAGAUUUCCUGCUUUUGUAAUGCAGGGAGGGGGAUGUCUGAGCUGAAAGUAGAUGGUGCAUUCCUGUGGUAGAGGAAUGUGAAAAGAUGGGUCUUGAGUCAGUACUGGAGACCUGGGCUGUGCAUCUGUGUUCCUCCAUCUAUAAUGAGAAGAAAGGGUUUCUUUUUUUUUUUUAAUUUUGUUGUUUUAACAAGUAACAAAUAAAAUUCAAGGGAGCUUGGCAACUGUGUUUGACUGUGAGUGGUUCCAGAAGUCUGACCUUUGUUCUUCUGUCAUUCAUAUUGAACACUGAUCCCUAGGUGCACAGUGCACAAGGAGGCUCUAACCUUCUCCAGUUUCUACACUCACUGGAAGUAAUUAUGGCCAUAGUCAUUUCCCUUCCACAUCAACAUUGGUUACUGUACUGAGCAGAUAAAUCCCUUCCCCCAAACCUAUGUGGCUGCAUGACAAACCACAAGGACUCCUUGUUUAAGAAGAAAUAACAGCAAAAAUAAGCCAUCCAGGGCUAAGAGGUCUUUCAAACUUGAUGUGAUAUGUCUGUUCCUCAGGGGUUCGUAUGGUCUCGUGUACUUGACACUGCAAAAAAACAGUAGCAGAAGCAGUGAAACUAAGGAAAGAGGAAGGUUUCAGAUAUCACCU
RNAcentral lists this long non-coding RNA (3250 nucleotides) under Gallus gallus (chicken). RNAcentral's name for it is "lncRNA (ENSGALG00010023596.1)". The record is from RNAcentral. Lineage: Eukaryota; Metazoa; Chordata; Aves; Galliformes; Phasianidae.